GUGCCAGCAGCCGCGGUAAUACCGGCAGCACGAGUGAUGGCCGAUAUUAUUGGGCCUAAAGCGUCCGUAGCUUGCUGUGUAAGUCCAUUGGGAAAUCGACGCUCUCAACGUGUCGGUGUCCGGUGGAGACUACACGGCUUGGGGCCGAGAGACUCGACGGGUACGUCCGGGGUAGGAGUGAAAUCCUGUAAUCCUGAACGGACCACCAAUGGGGAAACCACGUCGAGAGACCGGACCCGACAGUGAGGGACGAAAGCCAGGGUCUCGAACCGGAUUAGAUACCCCAGUAGUCC
RNAcentral lists this ribosomal RNA (293 nucleotides) under uncultured bacterium. RNAcentral describes it as "partial 16S ribosomal RNA". It matches the Rfam family "Archaeal small subunit ribosomal RNA", at positions 455 to 747 of the family's 1478-position model. The record is from RNAcentral.